This 82-nucleotide transfer RNA is filed under the name Cordylochernes scorpioides. Its description in RNAcentral is "tRNA-Thr". The record is from RNAcentral. Lineage: Eukaryota; Metazoa; Arthropoda; Arachnida; Pseudoscorpiones; Chernetidae.
UGUUCAGGGAUGGGAAACGAACCCACAAUGUUCCGCUUACCAGGUCAGAUGCCAUGUCCACUAGGCUAUCCCAUCCCUGGAC